UGCGUAGGGUGCGAGCGUUAAUCGGAAUUACUGGGCGUAAAGCGUGCGCAGGCGGUUUUGUAAGCCAGAUGUGAAAUCCCCGGGCUUAACCUGGGAAUGGCAUUUGGGACUGCAAGGCUGGAGUGCGGCAGAGGAGACUGGAAUUCCUGGUGUAGCAGUGAAAUGCGCAGAUAUCAGGAGGAACACCGGUGGCGAAGGCGGAUCUCUGGGCCUUACCUGACGCUGAGGCGCGAAAGCUAGGGGAGCAAACAGG
Molecule: ribosomal RNA, 253 nt
Filed under: uncultured bacterium
Lineage: Bacteria
Description: partial 16S ribosomal RNA
Rfam family: Bacterial small subunit ribosomal RNA
Source: RNAcentral